AUAUGCGAUCAUAUCAGCAUUAAUGCACCGUAUCCCAUCAGAACUCUAAAGUUAAGCGUUCUUGGGCGAGAGUAGUACUAGGAUGGGUGACCUCCCGGAAUGUCCACGUGUUGCAUCCC
This 119-nucleotide ribosomal RNA is filed under the name Arabidopsis thaliana (thale cress). Lineage: Eukaryota; Viridiplantae; Streptophyta; Magnoliopsida; Brassicales; Brassicaceae. The record is from RNAcentral.